AUGAAAACCAGCCCAGCCCUGACCCUGCAGCACUGGGAGAGGAGCCCAGCCCUGGGAUUUUCAGGUGUCUCCAUUUGGUGAUCACGACUGAACUCACCAUGGAGUUUGUGCUGAGCUGGGUUUUCGUUGUUGCUAUUUUAAAAGGUGUCCAGUGUGAGGUGCAGCUGGUGGAGUCUGGGGGAGGCUUGGUUCAGCCCGGGGGGUCCCUGAGACUCUCCUGUGCAGCCUCUGGAUUCACCUUCAGCAGCUAUAGCAUGAAUUGGGUCCGCCAGGCUCCAGGGAAGGGGCUGGAGUGGGUUUCAUACAUUAGAUAUGAUGGCGGUAGCACAUACUACGCAGACUCCGUGAAGGGCCGAUUCACCAUCUCCAGAGACAACGCCAAGAACUCGCUGUAUCUGCAGAUGAACAGCCUGAGAGCCGAGGACACGGCCGUGUAUUACUGUGCGAGACACAGUGAGGGGAAGUCACAGGAGGACACAUCCUCACCUCCACAGAAGCCCGAGGGUAACCCUGUGUACAGAAAUGGCCCUCCCCUGGCCACCAGAAUCAGAGUCCCGAAGAAGCCCAGGAGAAGCUGGGAAGAGUUUUCCACUCGGAGUCAGGGCAGACAUCUCCGUGGGAAUCCCUGA
Molecule: non-coding RNA, 629 nt
Organism: Callithrix jacchus (white-tufted-ear marmoset)
Lineage: Eukaryota; Metazoa; Chordata; Mammalia; Primates; Cebidae
Source: the annotation of a RefSeq genome assembly